UACGUAGGUGGCAAGCGUUGUCCGGAAUUAUUGGGCGUAAAGCGCGCGCAGGUGGUUCCUUAAGUCUGAUGUGAAAGCCCACGGCUCAACCGUGGAGGGUCAUUGGAAACUGGGGAACUUGAGUGCAGAAGAGGAAAGUGGAAUUCCAAGUGUAGCGGUGAAAUGCGUAGAGAUGUGGAGGAACACCAGUGGCGAAGGCGACUUUCUGGUCUGUAACUGACACUGAGGCGCGAAAGCGUGGGGAGCGAACAGGAUUAGAAACCCCGGUAGUCC
Molecule: ribosomal RNA, 273 nt
Filed under: uncultured bacterium
Lineage: Bacteria
Description: partial 16S ribosomal RNA
Rfam family: Bacterial small subunit ribosomal RNA
Source: RNAcentral